GGGGGCCAAAAUCGCAACAUUUUAAAACUUAGGGGGCGAAAAGAGGAGUUUAGCCUUUUUUUUUUAUUCGCUUCAAUUCAAGUAUUCAACUCUUUUGGUCAUGUAUGCCCUUCCACUAAGAGCAUUUUUCAUAUCUUAUCUUGACCUUCAUCUUGAAUUUACUUAGUGUAACAACAAAGCUAACACUACCAUAAAAAAAA
RNAcentral lists this long non-coding RNA (200 nucleotides) under Medicago truncatula (barrel medic). Its description in RNAcentral is "lncRNA gene14324". The record is from RNAcentral. Lineage: Eukaryota; Viridiplantae; Streptophyta; Magnoliopsida; Fabales; Fabaceae.